This is a long non-coding RNA of Varanus komodoensis (Komodo dragon), 271 nucleotides long. RefSeq lists it as uncharacterized. The record is from RefSeq and is a predicted model, not a curated record. The transcript has 3 exons. Lineage: Eukaryota; Metazoa; Chordata; Lepidosauria; Squamata; Varanidae.
GCAAAUCAAAAACGGAGAGAAGAUGGGUGAGGUUUCUCCCAUUCCCUUCUGUUAGAGCUAGUGCUGCCUCUGUUCAUACCUGGUUGGUGAAUGAGUCACAUGUUCCGAAUUGGACAUCCCUGGCAGCCUGCCAAUGGUAGCACGACAGGAAGGCAUAAAGAAAGAAAGCACAGCCCAGGAGUCACAGUCAUGCUGUUCCAGCCAGAAAAAUGCAGGGUUUAGAUUCUCAUGGAAUAGGCCUGCUGUUGGGAAAAAUGGCCGAAGGCAAACG